GUGGGGAAUAUUGGACAAUGGGCGCAAGCCUGAUCCAGCCAUGCCGCGUGAGUGAUGAAGGCCUUAGGGUUGUAAAGCUCUUUCAGUGGGGACGAUAAUGACGGUACCCACAGAAGAAGCCCCGGCUAACUUCGUGCCAGCAGCCGCGGUAAUACGAAGGGGGCUAGCGUUGUUCGGAUUUACUGGGCGUAAAGCGCACGUAGGCGGAUCGUUAAGUCGGGGGUGAAAUCCUGGAGCUCAACUCCAGAACUGCCUUCGAUACUGGCGAUCGUGAGGCCGGAAGAGGUGAGUGGAACUCCUAGUGUAGAGGUGGAAUUCGUAGAUAUUAGGAAGAACACCAGUGGCGAAGGCGGCUCACUGGUCCGGUACUGACGCUGAGGUGCGAAAGCGUGGGGAGCAAACAGGAUUAGAUACCCCUGUAGUCC
This 425-nucleotide ribosomal RNA is filed under the name uncultured bacterium. RNAcentral's name for it is "bacterial SSU rRNA". It matches the Rfam family "Bacterial small subunit ribosomal RNA", at positions 354 to 796 of the family's 1533-position model. The record is from RNAcentral.